This 437-nucleotide ribosomal RNA is filed under the name uncultured soil bacterium. RNAcentral describes it as "bacterial SSU rRNA". It matches the Rfam family "Bacterial small subunit ribosomal RNA", at positions 26 to 468 of the family's 1533-position model. The record is from RNAcentral.
AGAUUGAACGCUGGCGGCAGGCCUAACACAUGCAAGUCGAGCGGUAGAGAGGUGCUUGCAUCUCUUGAGAGCGGCGGACGGGUGAGUAAUGCCUAGGAAUCUGCCUAGUGGUGGGGGAUAACGUUCGGAAACGGACGCUAAUACCGCAUACGUCCUACGGGAGAAAGCGGGGGACCUUCGGGCCUCGCGCCAUUAGAUGAGCCUAGGUCGGAUUAGCUAGUUGGUGAGGUAAUGGCUCACCAAGGCGACGAUCCGUAACUGGUCUGAGAGGAUGAUCAGUCACACUGGAACUGAGACACGGUCCAGACCUCCGUACGGGAGCAGCAGGUAGGGAAUUAGUGGACAAGUGGGCGACAAGCCUGACUCCAGCCAAGUACCGCGGUUGGGUAGAAGGAACGGUCCGUUUACGGGUUAGUAAACGUCCCGUUUUUUAGGUA